Molecule: ribosomal RNA, 253 nt
Filed under: uncultured bacterium
Lineage: Bacteria
Description: partial 16S ribosomal RNA
Rfam family: Bacterial small subunit ribosomal RNA
Source: RNAcentral
UACGUAGGGUGCAAGCGUUGUCCGGAAUUAUUGGGCGUAAAGAGCUCGUAGGCGGUUUGUCGCGUCUGCUGUGAAAACCCGAGGCUCAACCUCGGGCCUGCAGUGGGUACGGGCAGACUAGAGUGCGGUAGUGGAGAUUGGAAUUCCUGGUGUAGCGGUGGAAUGCGCAGAUAUCAGGAGGAACACCAAUUGCGAAGGCAGCUCGCUGGGACGUUACUGACGCUGAGACGCGAAAGCGUGGGGAGCAAACAGG